Molecule: small RNA, 1705 nt
Filed under: Rattus norvegicus (Norway rat)
Lineage: Eukaryota; Metazoa; Chordata; Mammalia; Rodentia; Muridae
Description: uncharacterized LOC102550067
Source: RNAcentral
UUUACAGAAAAAGAAAAGCUAUUUAUUGUAGGGGUGAACGCUCCAGAGACAGUCGUCCUCGGCACUCUGUUCUCAGGUGCAGAGAUGGCGGACAGGAGCCCGGAAACUAGGGGAAAUAGGCCAGGCUUUAUCAGAACAUCAUUGCUCCGUGGGAGGUGCCUGGGAGCAGGUCCAGCUGAGCCUGGACUCCCGGUACUCAGAGGCUUGAGCCAAGAGGAUAGUGAAUUUGAGAGCAGCCCAGGCUUUGCAGGAGUUCUGGUCACUUUGUGAUACAUGAUCAGAAGUGACUCAAAAAACCAAAGGGUGGUGUAGUACUUGCCUAGCGUGUCCUGGGUUCAAAUCCUUGUCUCAAAAAAGAAAGAAAGAAAGAAAGAAAGAAAGAAAGAAAGAAAGAAAGAAAGAAAGAAGAAAGAAAAGGUACACACUUCUACUGAACAAUGUUGGGCAUUAAGGAACUACAGCGGUUUUUCCAUGGUUUGCCUAUUUGGGGGGAUGUGGGGGUUGAACCCUGGAGUAUAAGCACAUUAAGCUCAUGCUCUGCCAAGUUACACUGUGCUCCGUGCUCUAAAAGGAAAUAUCACUAACCUAGGAAGGUUAGCAUAGAGAUCUCUAACGGAUGCUUUGAAAUGUUUUUUUUUUAAUUACUAUAAAAUGUUUUCAAGGUCCUGCUAAGUAGUGCAGGCUAUCCUGGGAUUUGCCCAGGCCAGCCUCAAAAUCCUACGUAAUCAUAAUUCACACUUGGAAAACCGAGUCGCAAGCAGCUGAAGUAAUAUUCCCAUAUUUAUCAAGUUAGUAUGAGUAAGGACCCUGGACUUGAACUCAGGGCUUUCUGGGUGGCCACCUGGUGACACAGAAGCCACUGGAGGUGUUCCAGAUUAUCCCGAGGCCAGCAUGUAUGGGCAUGUAUGGCUAAGGCUACGCUACAAAGAGGCCGUCCGCUCUGAUUCACAGGUGAACUCACCUUGCCUUAUCUUCUGUGAGGUAACAAGUGGACAAAUACCUUCAGACGGCUCCACAUGACACAUACAAACAAACCAGCUAUGGCAUGCGGAGCCGGGCAGACUAGAGCACCGGCUCUCCCCACUCUCUUACACAAAGCUCUUUUUGUGACAUCACAGUGCUGCGUCAGCGGAGACACUCUCUGGAAACAAACUGACACCAUUAAACCCAUCUCCGUAAGUUCUCCUGGCCGCACGGAUGCUCUGAUCUAAGAUCAAAACCUCUCUCUCCUGUUGACUCUGGGGACUUUAAGCCUUUUAUUCGCUUUGCCUCCCACACCUGUAAAAAGCUGGCUUUGUCAAAAGCUCAGAACGCCUGCACACUCAGUUCACAAUUUCUGUUCCUGUGGGCAACCUGUCCCAUUGGUCUCUACUCCUAAGUAAAACUCAAGACGGAUUAGUCUCACUACUGUUUGUUGUUGCUGCUGCUGCUGCUGUUUUGAGACAGGGUUUGGGGUAUACUGGGCGAGCCUGGAACUCGAUAGGGAGCUGACGUGAUCUCCAACUCCUGGUCUUCCAGAAGCUGGGGCUGUAGGAGAGCUCGCCAUACCCAGGGCCUUCCUCCGACAUCUCCACCACUAUGUGACCGGCUUCGAUAGGUGGUUCUGGCUGUCCCGGCACUUCCUGUGAAGACAAGGCUAACGUCAAGCUCGGAGCAAUUCUCCUUCCUUGGCCUUCCGUGCCAGAAUUACAGGUGUGGGACACCA